Molecule: long non-coding RNA, 508 nt
Filed under: Linum usitatissimum (flax)
Lineage: Eukaryota; Viridiplantae; Streptophyta; Magnoliopsida; Malpighiales; Linaceae
Description: long non-coding RNA (LUSI_LNC001749)
Source: RNAcentral
UUCAAAUGUCCAUACCGAGUUAUCCAACCUUAAUACAGUGGAUAAAGAGAAACAGCGGGUGCAGGUAAGAGCCUUUCAUUACUUUUGAGAUUCCGAGCCGGCGUCCUCAUGCAGAUCCACGCCAUUACGCUCUUCAUUUACUGUACUCAUUGGGCACAAAUUUGGUUCAAGAAACUAGAAGAAGUCAACAGAGCUUUCCUCUAUACCGCACAAUCAACUGCAAGCCAAGAGUGAUCUCGGAUUCAACAAUUCAGAGGUGUCCGAUCUGUAAGUCUUCUGAAGAUCAUCCCAGUUAAUCCAAUAUCUCCCUCCAUCUUGAAAACAUCGUGUCGACCUAAAAACUGUUGUUAAACCAGCUGCAAGUCCAGCUAUGUGCAGUAAUUUAAGUGUUAAAACUGCUAAUCUACCACCCAGAAUCAGCUUCCGCCAAUGAAGAUGCCAAAUCUCAGCUGAUCGUACAAAAAAUCAUCCUCCGAUUCACCCAAAAUCUUCAGCAAUUGUUUUGAGU